GACUCAGUGGUUCGAUGGUAAAGCGUUCGUCGCAGGGCCAGAGGGUCCUGGGUUCGAUCCCCGGUGGAGUCG
Molecule: transfer RNA, 72 nt
Filed under: Schistosoma japonicum
Lineage: Eukaryota; Metazoa; Platyhelminthes; Trematoda; Strigeidida; Schistosomatidae
Description: tRNA-Leu
Source: RNAcentral